RNAcentral lists this ribosomal RNA (402 nucleotides) under uncultured bacterium. Its description in RNAcentral is "bacterial SSU rRNA". It matches the Rfam family "Bacterial small subunit ribosomal RNA", at positions 355 to 774 of the family's 1533-position model. The record is from RNAcentral.
UAGGGAAUAUUGGUAAUGUGCGAAAGCGCGAACCAGCAACGCCGCGUGCACGAUGAAGGCCUUCGGGUCGUAAAGUGCUUUUAGAGAGGAUGAGGAAGGACAGUACUUUCUGAAUAAGCCUCGGCUAACUACGUGCCAGCAGCCGCGGUAAAACGUAGGAGGCUAGCGUUAUCCGGAUUUACUGGGCGUAAAGCGCAUGCAGGUGGUUUUGUAAGUUGGAUGUGAAAGCUCCUGGCUUAACUGGGAGAGGUCGUUCAAAACUACAAGACUUGAGAGUGGUAGAGGAAAAUGGAAUUCCGGGUGUAGUGGUGAAAUGCGUAGAUAUCCGGAGGAACACCAGUGGCGAAAGCGGUUUUCUGGACCAAUUCUGACACUCAGAUGCGAAAGCUAAGGUAGCAAACG